GGUGAGGUGUCCGAGUGGCUGAAGGAGCACGCCUGGAAAGUGUGUAUACGUUUAUAGCGUAUCGAGGGUUCGAAUCCCUCUCUCACCGCCA
This 91-nucleotide transfer RNA is filed under the name Acinetobacter sp. Its description in RNAcentral is "tRNA-Ser". It matches the Rfam family "tRNA". Rfam says of the family: Transfer RNA (tRNA) molecules are approximately 80 nucleotides in length. RNAcentral also lists the same sequence under 33 other names. Lineage: Bacteria; Pseudomonadati; Pseudomonadota; Gammaproteobacteria; Moraxellales; Moraxellaceae. The record is from RNAcentral.